UGAAUAACACAGUCUGAAUGAAUAAUUCAGUGUGUCAUGAGUUGGGAAGGGAGAAAAAAGCAGGGUAUCUAUACAUGUCAUUUUCAAUCAUCUUGACUUGAAUUGCCUGGUCUUAUUUGGUCAAACAAGAACAGCUGGGGGGAAAAUGGUUAAACUUCUUACUUGGUUCUUUGAGACAAAGUAGCUGGCUGAUUGUCCUUUCUGCUCAGUGGAAUGUGCUGGCCUCAGAGGCCAUGACGGGUAACUGAACUGAGGCCAUGACGGGUAACUGAACUGAGGCCAACAGGAUCGUACCCAGGGAGGAAACAGCAACAGGCAACAUCUUCAUUUUUGCCUUGUUGGUGUAACCUUGUUUACAGAGAAGACACGGAAGAGAAAGGACUUGGAGAGUGAGAGAGGAAAAAGAGAAGACAGAGCGUGAGGAAGGGCCAGGAGGACGCAAAGGAACUUAUCUGUUACCGCUCAGGGAGUCUCCCAAGUGUCUGUGGGAGGGCCACCGGAGGGCUUGUUCCACAUGCUGACCGAGGAUGGGCUACACUUGUCUUUCUCGAAGCUCUGCUCCCCAGAGUGAGUGCACUGAUGCAGCCUCCUGGCCAUGUGCGAUGUGAGGACAGGUUUUCUCCUCCACUCUGUUGCCGUUGACAACUGUGUUGCAGCAAACAUCCUUCCCUGUGUGUCCUUGACACAGCCCUCUCCCUACUGAGGCCCUCGACUUCCCUGAUGCAUCAUUCAGCUGCUGGGAAAUUCAGCGGACUUGCUUCCUUCCUCGUGCGCAAGCGUGAGAACAUUCCCAAGGUACGAAUCCCAAAGGAGAAUCGACGGUUCAUGGGGUAUGCAGCUUCAUUUAAAAGUUGAGAAUAAAGGG
Felis catus (domestic cat) is the source of this 865-nucleotide long non-coding RNA. RefSeq lists it as uncharacterized. The record is from RefSeq and is a predicted model, not a curated record. The transcript has 3 exons. Lineage: Eukaryota; Metazoa; Chordata; Mammalia; Carnivora; Felidae.